This 460-nucleotide ribosomal RNA is filed under the name uncultured bacterium. RNAcentral's name for it is "partial 16S ribosomal RNA". It matches the Rfam family "Bacterial small subunit ribosomal RNA", at positions 338 to 795 of the family's 1533-position model. The record is from RNAcentral.
CCUACGGGAGGCAGCAGUGAGGAAUAUUGGUCAAUGGGCGCGAGCCUGAACCAGCCAAGUCGCGUGAAGGAUGACUGCCCUACGGGUUGUAAACUUCUUUUAUCAAGGAAUAAAGUGAGGCACGUGUGCCUCUUUGUAUGUACUUUAUGAACAAGGAUCGGCUAACUCCGUGCCAGCAGCCGCGGUAAUAUGGAGGAUCCGAGCGUUAUCCGGAUUUAUUGGGUUUAAAGGGAGCGUAGGUGGGUUGUUAAGUCAGUUGUGAAAGUUUGCGGCUCAACCGGAAAAUUGCAGUUGAUACUGGCAGUCUUGAGUACAGUUGAGGUAGGCGGAAUUCGUGGUGUAGCGGUGGAAUGCUUAGAUAUCACGAAGAACUCCGAUUGCGAAGGCAGCUUGCUGGGCUGCCACUGACGCUGAGGCUCGAAAGUGUGGGUAUCGAACAGGAUUAGAUACCCGUGUAGUC